AUACCNNGGUAGUNCACGCUGUAAACGAUGAACACUUGGUGUGGAGGGAGUUGACCCCUUCCGUGCCGGAGCUAACGCGUUAAGUGUUCCGCCUGGNGAGUACGGUNGCAAGGCUGAAACUCAAAGGAAUUGACGGGGGCCCGCACAAGCGGUGGAGCAUGUGGUUUAAUUCGACGCAACGCGAAGAACCUUACCUGGGCUUGAACUGUAGUGGACCGGUGCAGAGAUGUGCCUUUUCGCAAGAACUGCUACAGAGGUGCUGCAUGGCUGUCGUCAGCUCGUGUCGUGAGAUGUUGGGUUAAGUCCCGCAACGAGCGCAACCCUUACCCGUAGUUGCCAGCGCGUCAUGGCGGGAACUCUACGGGGACUGCCCGGGUUAACCGGGAGGAAGGUGGGGAUGAUGUCAAGUCCUCAUGGCCCUUAUGUCCAGGGCUACACACGUGCUACAAUGGGCGAUACAAACCGUUGCAAAGUCGCGAGAUGGAGCUAAUCGGAGAAAGUCGUCCUCAGUUCGGAUUGUAGUCUGCAACUCGACUACAUGAAGGUGGAAUCGCUAGUAAUCGUGUAUCAGAAUNAUNCG
Molecule: ribosomal RNA, 580 nt
Filed under: uncultured Acidobacteriota bacterium
Lineage: Bacteria; Pseudomonadati; Acidobacteriota
Description: bacterial SSU rRNA
Rfam family: Bacterial small subunit ribosomal RNA
Source: RNAcentral